UACAGGGGGUGCAAACGUUGCUCGGAAUUAUUGGGCGUAAAGCGCGCGCAGGUGGUUUCUUAAGUCUGAUGUGAAAGCCCACGGCUCAACCGUGGAGGGUCAUUGGAAACUGGGGAACUUGAGUGCAGGAGAGAAGAGUGGAAUUCCACGUGUAGCGGUGAAAUGCGUAGAGAUGUGGAGGAACACCAGUGGCGAAGGCGACUCUUUGGCCUGUAACUGACACUGAGGCGCGAAAGCGUGGGGAGCAAACAGG
RNAcentral lists this ribosomal RNA (253 nucleotides) under uncultured bacterium. RNAcentral's name for it is "partial 16S ribosomal RNA". It matches the Rfam family "Bacterial small subunit ribosomal RNA", at positions 524 to 776 of the family's 1533-position model. The record is from RNAcentral.